This 446-nucleotide ribosomal RNA is filed under the name uncultured bacterium. RNAcentral describes it as "bacterial SSU rRNA". It matches the Rfam family "Bacterial small subunit ribosomal RNA", at positions 330 to 792 of the family's 1533-position model. The record is from RNAcentral.
UCCAGACUCCUACGGGAGGCAGCAGUGGGGAAUAUUGGGCAAUGGGCGCAAGCCUGACCCAGCAACGCCGCGUGAAGGAAGAAGGCUUUCGGGUUGUAAACUUCUUUUAAGAGGGAAGAGUAGAAGACGGUACCUCUUGAAUAAGCCACGGCUAACUACGUGCCAGCAGCCGCGGUAAUACGUAGGGGGCAAGCGUUAUCCGGAUUUAUUGGGUUUAAAGGGUGCGCAGGCGGCGUGUCAAGUCAGCGGUAAAAUGUCGGGGCUCAACCCCGGCCGGCCGUUGAAACUGGCGUGCUCGAGUUGGAGAGAAGUAUGCGGAAUUCGUGGUGUAGCGGUGAAAUGCAUAGAUAUCACGAAGAACCCCGAUUGCGAAGGCAGCAUACCGGCUCCACACUGACGCUGAGGCACGAAAGCGUGGGUAUCGAACAGGAUUAGAUACCCCCGUA